AUUGAACGCUGGCGGCAGGCCUAACACAUGCAAGUCGAGCGAGUGGCGGACGGGUGAGUAAUGCUUGGGGAUCUGCCUGAUGGAGGGGGAUAACUACUGGAAACUGUCGCUAAUACCGCAUACCAUCGGAUGAACCCAUAUGGGAUUAGCUAGUUGGUGGGGUAAAGGCCUACCAAGCCGACGAUCUCUAGCUGGUCUGAGAGGAUGACCAGCCACACUGGGACGGAGACACGGCCCAGACUCCUACGGGAGGCAGCAGUGGGGAAUAUUGCGCAAUGGGGGCAAGCCUGAUGCAGCCAUGCCGCGUGUAUGAAGAAGGCCUUAGGGUUGUAAAGUUCUUUCAGUAGGGAGGCGUUACCCGCAGAAGAAGCACCGGCUAACUCCGUGCCAGCAGCCGCGGUAAUAC
RNAcentral lists this ribosomal RNA (406 nucleotides) under uncultured bacterium. RNAcentral describes it as "partial 16S ribosomal RNA". It matches the Rfam family "Bacterial small subunit ribosomal RNA", at positions 30 to 526 of the family's 1533-position model. The record is from RNAcentral.